RNAcentral lists this long non-coding RNA (249 nucleotides) under Ictidomys tridecemlineatus (thirteen-lined ground squirrel). Its description in RNAcentral is "lncRNA (ENSSTOG00000032961.1)". The record is from RNAcentral. Lineage: Eukaryota; Metazoa; Chordata; Mammalia; Rodentia; Sciuridae.
UAAAUUUAAGAUUUUUUUUAAAAAAAUGUUUUAUUAUUUAUUUUUUAGUUUUCGGCGGACACAACAUCUUUGUUUGUAUGUGGUGCUGAGGAUCGAACCCGGGCCGCACGCAUGCCAGGCGAGCAUGCUACCGCUUGAGCCAUAUCCCCAGCCCAAGAUAUUUUUAAUGAAGUGUGGAAUACAAAAUCCUACUGCUUACUCUCAUGGGUUUUCAAGGACAACAACAACAACAACAACAAAGACUAAUAU